UACGGGGGGAGCAAGCGUUGUCCGGAAUCAUUGGGCGUAAAGCGCGCGUAGGUGGCCACAUAAGUCCGUUGUGAAAGUCAAAGGCUCAACCUUUGAAAGCCGAUGGAUACUGUGUGGCUAGAGUACGGAAGAGGCGAGUGGAAUUCCUGGUGUAGCGGUGGAAUGCGCAGAUAUCAGGAGGAACACCAAUAGCGAAGGCAGCUCGCUGGGACGUUACUGACACUGAGGCGCGAAAGCGUGGGGAGCGAACAGG
RNAcentral lists this ribosomal RNA (253 nucleotides) under uncultured bacterium. RNAcentral describes it as "partial 16S ribosomal RNA". It matches the Rfam family "Bacterial small subunit ribosomal RNA", at positions 524 to 776 of the family's 1533-position model. The record is from RNAcentral.